UCGAGCGGCAGCGGGAGGAAGCUUGCUUCCUCGCCGGCGAGCGGCGGACGGGUGAGUAAUGUCUGGGGAUCUGCCCGAUGGAGGGGGAUAACCACUGGAAACGGUGGCUAAUACCGCAUAACGUCGCAAGACCAAAGUGGGGGACCUUCGGGCCUCACACCAUCGGAUGAACCCAGAUGGGAUUAGCUAGUAGGUGGGGUAAUGGCUCACCUAGGCGACGAUCCCUAGCUGGUCUGAGAGGAUGACCAGCCACACUGGAACUGAGACACGGUCCAGACUCCUACGGGAGGCAGCAGUGGGGAAUAUUGCACAAUGGGCGCAAGCCUGAUGCAGCCAUGCCGCGUGUGUGAAGAAGGCCUUCGGGUUGUAAAGCACUUUCAGCGAGGAGGAAGGUGGUGAGCUUAAUACGUUCAUCAAUUGACGUUACUCGCAGAAGAAGCACCGGCUAACUCCGUGCCAGCAGCCGCGGUAAUACGGAGGGUGCAAGCGUUAAUCGGAAUUACUGGGCGUAAAGCGCACGCAGGCGGUUUGUUAAGUCAGAUGUGAAAUCCCCGAGCUUAACUUGGGAACUGCAUUUGAAACUGGCAAGCUAGAGUCUCGUAGAGGGGGGUAGAAUUCCAGGUGUAGCGGUGAAAUGCGUAGAGAUCUGGAGGAAUACCGGUGGCGAAGGCGGCCCCCUGGACGAAGACUGACGCUCAGGUGCGAAAGCGUGGGGAGCAAACAGGAUUAGAUACCCUGGUAGUCCACGCCGUAAACGAUGUCGAUUUGGAGGUUGUGCCCUUGAGGCGUGGCUUCCGGAGCUAACGCGUUAAAUCGACCGCCUGGGGAGUACGGCCGCAAGGUUAAAACUCAAAUGAAUUGACGGGGGCCCGCACAAGCGGUGGAGCAUGUGGUUUAAUUCGAUGCAACGCGGAAGAACCUUACCUACUCUUGACAUCCAGAGAACUUUUCAGAAGAUGGAUUGGGUGCCUUCGGGGACUUCUGAGACAGGGUGCUGCAUGGGUUGUCGUCCAGCUCCGGGUUGUGGAAAUGUUG
Molecule: ribosomal RNA, 1035 nt
Filed under: Serratia rubidaea
Lineage: Bacteria; Pseudomonadati; Pseudomonadota; Gammaproteobacteria; Enterobacterales; Yersiniaceae
Description: bacterial SSU rRNA
Rfam family: Bacterial small subunit ribosomal RNA
Source: RNAcentral